AUGGCGGCCACGCUCUCCUCCGUGUCUGCCUCUUCCAAGCACUGCUCCGUCGUCAGGGCUCAGCACUCGCCACUUCCUUCCAUCCUCACAACAUCACCAGCCAAGAAAACUGCCUUCCAUGGGGUUUCCUUGGUGGACAGCAGGUGGUUGCGCAGCGGCGGCGCGCGGCGAAGGCUGGUGCAGGUGAAUGCCAAGACCGCCGGCGCGGCCAAGAACAUCGAGGUGGAGGUCGACAAGCCGCUCGGCCUCACCCUUGGCCAGAAGUCCGGCGGCGGCGUCGUCAUCACUGGUGUGGAGUCCGGAGGGAAUGCAGCAAGAGCAGGGCUCAAGUCAGGUGACCAAGUGCUCUACACAAGCAGCUUCUUCGGUGAUGAAUUGUGGCCGGCAGACAAGCUGGGAUUCACCAAGACAGCCAUCCAAGCAAAGCCAGACUCUGUAUACUUUGUAGUAAGCAGGGGUGGUGGUGAUAUUGAUGUGAAGCGCCUGCCCAAGAGGCCGGCGCCCCCUCGGUUUGGCCGGAAGUUAUCUGAUUCACAGAAGGCUAGAGCAACACACAUCUGCCUUGAUUGUGGAUACAUAUACUUUCUACCCAAGGCUUUUGAAGAACAGCCUGAUGAGUAUGGCUGUCCCCAGUGCAAUGCGCCAAAGAAGCGAUUCGCGAGAUACGACGUAGAGUCUGGGAAGCCCAUUGGCGGUGCACUGCCACCUCUUACGGUGAUAGUCAGUUUGGUUAUCGGCAUCGCUGGAAUAGGGGCUUUACUUGUAUAUGGCCUUCAAUAG
Molecule: ribosomal RNA, 780 nt
Filed under: Triticum aestivum (bread wheat)
Lineage: Eukaryota; Viridiplantae; Streptophyta; Magnoliopsida; Poales; Poaceae
Description: partial small subunit ribosomal RNA
Source: RNAcentral